UGCUCAAUGAAUUUUUUAAAUUGCUGUAGUAUAUUGACUAUACAAAGGUAUUGUAAUAAGACUUUAAUUGAGUGCUAAAAGAAUGGACUUUCAAAAAAACUCUAUCUUAAAUUUAAAAAUUGAAUUUAUUUUUAUUUGUGAAGAAACAAUAAUAUAAAUUAGGGACAAGAAGACCCUAAGAAUUUUUAAACUAUUUGUAAAAUAGUAUUUUACAGUAGUUUUUAAUUGGGGCGAUUACGAAAUAUUAGAAACUUUUUACUUUAUUAAAAUGGUCCAUUAUUAAUGAUUAAGUGAAAAAAAUACUCUAGGGAUAACAGCGUAAUAAUUUUAGAUAGAUCUUAUAGAAAAAUUAGUUUGCGACCUCGAUGUUGGAUUAGGAUUCUAAUUUAAUGAA
Molecule: ribosomal RNA, 394 nt
Filed under: Haemaphysalis cornupunctata
Lineage: Eukaryota; Metazoa; Arthropoda; Arachnida; Ixodida; Ixodidae
Description: partial large subunit ribosomal RNA
Source: RNAcentral